AUCCUACUCCCUCCGUCCCAAAAUUCUUGUCUUAGAUUUGUCUAGAUAUGAAUGUAUCUAGUCACGUUUUAAUAUUUAGAUACAUUCAUUUUUAAAUAAACGUGAGACAAGAAAUUUGGGACGGAGGGAGUAUUAG
RNAcentral lists this microRNA precursor (136 nucleotides) under Hordeum vulgare. Its description in RNAcentral is "microRNA MIR1122". It matches the Rfam family "MIR1120/MIR1122 microRNA precursor family". Lineage: Eukaryota; Viridiplantae; Streptophyta; Magnoliopsida; Poales; Poaceae. The record is from RNAcentral.